GACGAACGCUGGCGGCGUGCUUAACACAUGCAAGUCGAACGAAAAGAGGGAAAGAGCUUGCUCUUUCCGGAAUUGAGUGGCAAACGGGUGAGUAACACGUAAACAACCUGCCUUCAGGAUGGGGACAACAGACGGAAACGACUGCUAAUACCGAAUAAGUUCCAAGGGCCGCAUGGCCCAUGGAAGAAAAGGUGGCCUCUACCUGUAAGCUAUCGCCUGAAGAGGGGUUUGCGUCUGAUUAGCUGGUUGGAGGGGUAACGGCCCACCAAGGCGACGAUCAGUAGCCGGUCUGAGAGGAUGAACGGCCACACUGGAAUUGAGACACGGUCCAGACUCCUACGGGAGGCAGCAGUGGGGAAUCUUCCGCAAUGGGCGAAAGCCUGACGGAGCAACGCCGCGUGAGUGAUGACGGCCUUCGGGUUGUAAAACUCUGUGAUCCGGGACGAAAAGGCAGAGUGCGAAGAACAAACUGCAUUGACGGUACCGGAAAAGCAAGCCGCGGCUAACUACGUG
This 513-nucleotide ribosomal RNA is filed under the name uncultured bacterium. RNAcentral describes it as "partial 16S ribosomal RNA". It matches the Rfam family "Bacterial small subunit ribosomal RNA", at positions 28 to 507 of the family's 1533-position model. The record is from RNAcentral.